Molecule: long non-coding RNA, 629 nt
Organism: Pecten maximus
Lineage: Eukaryota; Metazoa; Mollusca; Bivalvia; Pectinida; Pectinidae
Exons: 2
Source: RefSeq, a predicted model, not a curated record
AAUUUGUUCAGUGUUAGGAAGUUUAGCGUCACUUUUGCUCGAGUCUUGCUGUUCAGAAGAUGUGGUCUGAUCCAGUGCUGGGUCAUAUUGCAGAUCAUGGAAGUAGAGGACCUGAACAACAGGAGUGACGAUAUGACCAAAUGAUAGCCUGGUGAUGUACUACCAUAGGUAAUGUUUGCUUUUCUUUUCUAAAGGUGACGACAAAUUUGAAUUAUGAAACCAUUAAAUUUGUUUUACAAAAAUUAAAAACAAAAAACUAAAACAAAAACCACCUAAAAUUAAACAUUACUACACUGUAUAAAAUCAAAUAAAAUAAAAAUAAAUAAAUCGAAUAAAUAAAAACUAAACAGAUAAAUCAAUUUUUAAUAUAAUUAGGUCAAUCAACUGAAUAAAAGAUCAAAAUAAAACUGUAUAAAAUAACACAAUAAAAAUAAAUGAAUAAAAUAAAUGAAAACUAAACAGAUAAAUAACCAAAAUAAACAUCAAUAAUGAUGAAAUGAAAAUAAAAACAUCACAAUAAAAAUCACUGAAAAUAAAAUCAAUUAAAAUUAAAUAAUAAAAUCUAAAGGGAUUAUGGAACCUACAGAACCUAAAUUAGAAGAAUGGCGUUGGCUCUUCCCCCCCCCCCC